Molecule: long non-coding RNA, 3827 nt
Filed under: Canis lupus familiaris (dog)
Lineage: Eukaryota; Metazoa; Chordata; Mammalia; Carnivora; Canidae
Description: lncRNA (ENSCAFG00000047324.2)
Source: RNAcentral
GGGGACAGACGAUAACAGCCCUGGGCUGGUCGCCUGCCUUCCUCCAGCCCCUGCUUCUGUCUCCUGUACUCACUCUAAAGGACCCUGGAAGAGGGAGUGGUUCAUCCUAGCUGCAAACAGGGGCGCUAAUUUUUUUUUUUUUUUUUUUUAAGAAUUGCGUUUUAUAGGUAUGUCUGAGCGAUGCAAGGGCAUGCGAACGACUUUUCAGAGAGAAUGUGAAUACAUUUGGUAUGUACUAAAAAGCUGGAAGCCCCUAAGUAAACGCAGUAUCCAUAGGAAGGGAGUUUCUUGAAGAGUCACCUGCUAAACUCCACUAGCGUCAUCUUUGCAAUUGCUAUGAGAGUGACUACCCAACAAUGUUGGUGUAAUGGAAGACAUUACAGUCUCAAGGAAUAAUUGGUUGAGAGUCAUGAAAGUAAGGAUGGUAAGUGAUUUUUAAGAACUAAAAGAAAUCCAGAGUGUAUGAAGUAGGGAGAAGAAAAAGAGAGGCACACUCCAAUUGCAAAGGCAGCAAAGUCAAGAAAUCUACAAUUCUUUGAACUCUUGCUAAACAGUAGAAACAAUAAAAAUCAUUGACAAAGUGGAUGGAAAAUAGAAAAGAGAUAAACCAAGGAUGUUUAUGAAAAUUUCCCCCUUUGAAAUUGAAAGACAUUGGCAUGGAGAAGACUUCAUGUGGCAAAGUUUUGGAGGAAAGACUCAGAGCUUGUUUUUUGUCACAUUCUAUGAAGGGUUUAUCAAUCAGCCAAGUGGGAGGUCUCAAUUAUGUAUUUAGGUAUAGAAUCUACAGUUAAGGGUAGAGGACUGUUUGCAAAUAUACAUUUGGAAAUUUCAACGCUUAAUAUUUAAACUAAUGAGAUGGAAUGAGAUUACCAAAGAAAUGAGUUAAUGUGCAAGGGCUAAAUAUAAAUAUGUUGAGAAAAAUGUGACAGUGAACUUGUCCAAUCUCAUUUCCCAACAGAGAGCUAAGCAUUCCAGACCAUUUUUGAAGCUUUUAUACUGGCUAUUUGAUUUGGGAUUUGGAGACUUGUGUUUAUGUAAAAGGAAUUGUACUCUAUAUAUUGAACUGCAGUUUGUUUUGGUCUGUAAUGACAUGAUGAGGAACACUUUCUUUUUUAGUAUAUAGAAUUCUAUAGGAUUACUUUUAACUGCUUUAUCAUUUCUAGUGAUAUUGUUGUACCAUAGUUUGCUUAAUUAUAAUUUUAUUUAGGGAAUUUUUAAUUUUUAAUAUUUAAUUACACUUGAGGUGGAGGCUGCUUGAACACAAAAGAAAUUAAAUCAAUAAUGAGGGAGGAGAUAAUUUAAAUAUUACACGUAAUGCUGACUAUCAUCUAAUUAAUUUGCAAACGCUUGGGUGUGAAUAUGAAUUUUCAUGUGGAUUUCAUGUUUAUUUAUUUCUAUUUUUAAAAGAUUUUAUUUAUUUUUUCAUGAGAGACACAGAGAGAGAGGCAGAGACAUAGGCAGAGGGAGAAGCAGGCUCCCUGCAGGGUACCCGAUGCAGGACUCAAUCCCAGGACCGUGGGAUCACAACCUGAGCCAAAGGCAGACGCUCAACCACUGAGCCACCCAGGUGUCCUGGAUUUCAUAUUUAUUAUCUCAUUGGGUCCCCAUGCUACUUCUUGUCCUACUAAUAGCCUACUAAUGGUAAGUAAAUAGUAAGAUAAUCUUACCAUGAUGAUGAGUGGGAUACUAAUGUUUAUAGAGAAGAGUUUUUAGUGUCACUGGGUUUCUGAAUUCCAGAGCAUACUUCAUUUGAUCAAUUGGCUGAAACCUAUUUGCUAAAAGCUAAAGUAAAGUUUUUGCAGGACUGACUGAGAUGCUAUGUAAACCUUUCAAUGAAAACUGCCUUUUUACAAGUAAUGCUCUUAUUAUUUAAUAUUCACCUCAUGUGCUUCCCUUAAAACCCAAGCCCUGAAUAAGAUGCCACACCACUCUGCAAGUAAUGACGAGGCAAACUUCCCCAGUGCAUACUAUAUAUCUUAGUGCACAAAGGUAUAAUUUUGUAGGAUAUAUUUCUAAAAGUGGCAAUGCUGUGUGUAAGGGUUUACAAAGUUAUAAUUUUCCUCAUACUCCCAAAUGAUCCUCUGGAGGCUACAAGAGCUUACACUCUUUCCAACAUCGCAUGGGAGCUCCAGUUACCCCAUCUUUGAUAACAUGGAUACUAUCAAUCUUUUAAAUUUUUGCAAAUAUAGUUGUUAUUGUUUUAAUUGUCAUUACCCUGGCCACUUUGAGAUUGAAUACCUUUUCACAUCAUUGCUUCUGUUUAUGUAUUUUUACAUUCCUACACAUAUAUUUGUCUCAUUUCAAUUGUGGUUUAAUUUUCUUUGAAAAUAUUUGUAGUUGUCCUUUGUAUUGAAUCCACAUGAAUUCUUUAUUUCAUGUACUAAAAUAUUUCCAUCAAAUCUUAAUUUAUUCAUAUGUUAAUUUGUUUACAGUAUUGCUUAUCAUAAAGAACUCUUUUUUGGGGGCACCCAGGUGGCUCAGUUAGCUAAGUAUCCAUAUCGGGCCUGCUUCUUUUCCCUCUGCCCUUCCCCUCCAUUCAUACUCUCUCUCUCAUGCUCUCUCUCUUAAGUAAAUAAAUAAAAUCUUAAAAAAUACAUGUAACAGAAUAAUGCUUUUGAAGUAGUAAAUAAUUUCUUUCUCCCUCAAGUAUAGAUAUGACACAGGAGUUAUUAAACUUGUCUACAAGUCUUGGCCUUUAAAUUUCCGAAAGCCAAAACUAUCGGUGUUCAGAAGUCAAGGCUGAUAUAAAAGCAAUGUUUGUGCAGCAAGCAACAAUGAGUUGUACUAUUUCACUCCUUCCCUUAACCCCAUGCGUUUGGAACUAUGUAAAUCGCCUGAACAUAGCAACUGCUCUAGGGAAUGAAAAAAGAAAUCCUGAGUUUACUGAAAUAAUUUAGUCUGGAAAAAUAAGAGAUUAAAAUAGAAAUCCAGUCUGGGGAAAAAAUGAGGUAGUAGAGGAAAAAAGAACUUCUCCCUAGCUUACUUCCAUCCCACUUGUAAAAACCGAGUCACAUUUUGGAGAGUUGGGGAUCACUUAUCAUUGCUUUACCUAAGACUACGAUAAACAUAGGAUUGAAAGAAGCCAGACACAAAAGAAUACAUACCAUAUGAUUCCAUUAUUUAAAAUUUAAAAACAGGCAAAACCACACAACAGGUUUAGAAGAUAAAAUAAAUCUGCAAGGUAGAGGCAGGAAGUGAGUAGCAAUUAGGAAGGCAUGAAGAAGUUUCUGGGUUGUUGGCAUUCUAUUUUCUGAUAUGUUGUAGUUACACAGGUGGUUUCUUUGUUAUAGUGUUUUGAACUGUAUGUGUAUACUUGGCUUUUUAAGUUCAUAUGGGUUAUCCUUCAAUUAAAAAGAAAAAAAAUAUGAAAAUGCAGUUAAAUUAUAGAAAAUAAUAUUUAUACAUUUCUGCAAAUAUGUUUGAAGGUAAGAUUAUAUGUGUAGCACAUAUUAUAUGGCUGAAAUGAUUUAUCCUCACACUCCUAUUUUUUGCUCUUCUAUUAAAAUUUUAUGCUUUCCUCUUAAAUAACUGUAAAUUAGAUGAUACUUGUUGAGCACUUACUCUAAGGGAAAGUACUAUUCUAAGAACAUUACAAAUAUCUGCUCAUUUAAAGCUCACAACAAGCUAAUGAGGUUGGAAGUAUUAUCCUCUUAAUAGAUUAGGGAAUCGAGAUUCAGUGACAUUAUGUAACUUCAGGGCAGAAAAUCUAAUUAGAGUUACAGUCACAACUCAUACCCUGGCAGUUUGCCUCAAGGUUAAAUCUGGUUAACCACCAUAUUGUCCCCUUAAGUACAUCUCCUAAUCAUCUCUCCAGAAGCAGAAAAAAA